This is a long non-coding RNA of Girardinichthys multiradiatus, 329 nucleotides long. RefSeq lists it as uncharacterized. Lineage: Eukaryota; Metazoa; Chordata; Actinopteri; Cyprinodontiformes; Goodeidae. The record is from RefSeq and is a predicted model, not a curated record. The transcript has 3 exons.
CAGGCAGAAGACUUGAGGCAACCUAGUGUAUCGGACUGCAGCAGGGGCAGAUCAUUACAUGCUGGUGUGAACAGGGCCUAAGGAUCUCUGCUAGAAGGUGUGGCUGGCCAGCGGCAGCACACCUGUGAGCAAUCCACUUCCAGGCUGUGCUUAUAAGGAGCUGCAAGAUGAUCAUUCAACGCCUGAUGGCUGAAGAAACUCUCCGUUCUCUGAAGUCUGGCUGAAAGAUUCCGGAAAUCACCUCAACAACUGUUAUCCUCUAAAGGUUCCUGAACUCCAAUUCUCCCUGCCUGCCCGCUCUCCACCAGCGGCUAAGAGUGUGGAGCGGC